CACCCGAUCCCUUUCCGAACUCGGCCGUGAAAGCCUGUAGCGCCGAUGGUACUUUGUCUUAAGGCACGGGAGAGUAGGUCGCUGCCUGGU
RNAcentral lists this ribosomal RNA (90 nucleotides) under Rhodospirillaceae bacterium. The record is from RNAcentral. Lineage: Bacteria; Pseudomonadati; Pseudomonadota; Alphaproteobacteria; Rhodospirillales; Rhodospirillaceae.